AUUAAAUGCAAUAAAUAACUGGCAAUCAACGUAUAAAUAUAAAAAAAACUGUCAAGUGAUUCACCCGCUCUUGGCCAUUUAACUUGUUGAAUUGUGAUCAGAGGGUUAGCUUACGAAAAUGGAUAUUACGGUGCACGAUAAUGGCUACCAGAAUAGCACCUAUUGCCAGGCGAGUAAUCGCACCACACUCUUCAUCAGCGCCUACAAUGGUAUACCGGAGACUUUGAUAUUGAACACGAUCUUCUGGGUGCUGCUCAUUCUGUUGUUUACGAUGCUGCGACAUCAGGCGAGCGACUAUCGUCUGGCUCUGGUCAAUGCCAAUGGGACUAAGAAGCGUUGGACGGAAAUAUUCUAUUCCCGAGCCGCCAGCGUUGUGGAACCACAGCCGAGCACGUCAAAUCCCUCGAAUCCCUCGAAUCCAAUGCCCCGGCCAAGCACAACAUCUCAGCAGAGCGACUCGACACCGCUGUCGCCCAUCCAAACCGAACCGGGUCUCUUCAAUUGGAUUCGGGUGACCUUGAAGCUGCGCAAGGAAACAAUUCUGCUGCACUCCGGUCCGGAUGCCGUUCAUUAUUUGUCCUUUCAGCAGCAUAUGAUGGCUGUCAUGGCGGUGGUCACCGUCAUUUCGCUAGCUAUCAUCUUGCCAAUCAACUUUCUGAAUGGCCCGCGCGAUGAGCUGUACGAUGUGAAUGCCUUUGGACGCACCACAAUGGCCAAUCUGCAGCCGGAAUCACCCUGGCUGUGGGUACACACCAUCAUAACCAUCCUGUAUAUACCGCUGGUGGUGCUCAUCAUGCGGCGCUCCUCGGGUCGCAACGCCUUCAAGAAGGCUGCCACGCGCACCAUCAUGAUAUCAAAUAUAUCAAACAGUGAUCGGAACAAGACCGUCAUACGCAACUAUAUGCAGGAGCUGUUUCCGGAUGUCACCAUCGAGAGCGUCAGCAUUGCGUACAACAUUUCACGUCUCUUCGUGCGCAAUGCGGAGUUUGAGAGAGUGCACGAAGCGCGUGUCUACUGUGAACAUCAUCGGGACCGGGACACGCUGAUGGCCAAGCCGGAGAUGUGCUCGUGCAAGAAGGAGAAUGCCUACGAGUAUUAUCAACGCGAAGAGCGUAAGCUCUCGGGCGAUGUGGCACGUUUGCGUGCCUCAACGCUGAAUGAGCCCUUGGAUAUUGCCUUCUUGACCGUGUCCACGGUGCAGGAGGCACAGAAUAUUGUAAAUCAUUUCACACCAGGCACAUAUAGGCAAUGGCACAUCGUGUUCGCACCCUCGCCGGAUGAUAUCUUCUGGGAGAACCUGAAUGUCAACAAGAGCCAUUGGUAUUUGAAAUUUGUGUGCGUGAACGUUGUGCUCUUCAUAGUCCUGUUCUUCCUGACAACACCGGCCAUGGUGGUCAAUUUGCUGAACAGCCGUCCGUGGGUGUUGGAUACGGAGAACAAAAUCUCGCCACUUGUCUCUGAGUUCUUGCCCACAUUGAUGCUGUGGACGCUGUCGGCACUGAUGCCAGUGAUUGUCUCUAUAUCAGAUAAAUGGAUGGGCCAUUACACGCGAUCCAAACAGAACUACUCGAUAAUGUGCAAAUGCUUUGGCUACCUGCUGCUGAUGAUUCUCAUCCUGCCCUCAUUGGGCUUGACGUCGGCGCAGGCACUUCUGGAGUGGGGCCUGACGAACGACACGGGGCGUUGGCAGUGCAUCUUCUUGCCGGAUCGUGGCUCAUUCUAUGUCAACUAUAUUAUAACUGCUGCCUUUAUUGGUACCUCGUUGGAGCUGUUGCGGUUCCCGGAGCUCAUUGUCUACAUUUGGGCGUUAUUGAAGGCCACUUCCAAGGCGGAGACGCCCUAUAUACGUAAAUCCAUAUUGAUUGAGUUCCCAUUUGGCACACACUACGCCUGGACCACACUCGUCUUCACCAUAUCGAUAGUGUACAGCGUAUUUUGCCCAUUGAUCAUGCCAUUCGCCAUGAUCUAUAUAUGUCUCAAGCAUAUGGUGGAUCGCUACAAUCUGUACUUCGCCUACGGACCAUCCAAUAUGAUAUCACGGAAGGGAGGCAAAAUUCAUUCCACAGCGGUGACCAUGACCAAGUUUUCGGUACUCAUUUUGGUGCUGGUUAUGGCCAUGAUAUGCUAUUUCCGUGGCGAUGACGGCAUGGCUAGAUUCCUGAUACUGAUCAUCACGCUAGCUAUAACCGUAACACUGUUUAUCUUCAUGUCGCCGAUCAAACGUUGUGCGGCCACGCGACGUCCAAGUAUUGUGGAAAUCGCCGGCCCCGCACCCGCCUACAUACCGGACGUGCUCCGAGCUACAACCACACAGACCAGCGCCAGGCCGUCGACAGUCGGUUUUCCUGGAUACGGCUCGGACAAUAUAUCUGAAUACGAUAGCUCCCAGUAUAGUGUCAAUAGCGUGGAGGCGUAAGCGAAGCUAGUUUCUGUUGCUCCUUUCCUUGGCUAGAAAGAGACUCGCUCGAAAAAAAUUUAUAUGGACUUUGCUUGCAAAAAUCGAUAAUGAUCAGAAAAUGUGAUAGAAAUUAGCCUCAUGAUUUGCGUCUGAGUUCGGUUGCGAAACGCGUUUUUAAAAAACACGUGCCCCGCUGAGCCCCCUUCUAUUAAAAUUAUUAUU
This 2620-nucleotide unclassified non-coding RNA is filed under the name Drosophila mojavensis. RNAcentral describes it as "GI19256". Lineage: Eukaryota; Metazoa; Arthropoda; Insecta; Diptera; Drosophilidae. The record is from RNAcentral.